This 537-nucleotide ribosomal RNA is filed under the name Triticum aestivum (bread wheat). Its description in RNAcentral is "partial small subunit ribosomal RNA". Lineage: Eukaryota; Viridiplantae; Streptophyta; Magnoliopsida; Poales; Poaceae. The record is from RNAcentral.
AUGUCAGUCCCCUUCCCGUGGGGAUUCUGGGAAGGAAGUGGACCACCAAACCGCAAAGCCAUAAGUGAUCAAGUCAUCAAGUACCUGCGGACCUUCAAGGCCCGGCCAAUUGUCGGCAACCCGCCGGAACUCUCCUUCCUCCACAUCCUCGUGCCGCCGCGAUCCCUCCCGCUCCCGCCGCCAUACAUGGGCCUGGACUCGGGCCGCAUCUCCAGCACGGACAAGAACCUGGUCGCCCUUUACGCCGGCGGCUACCUCAUCUACGACGCCAGCAACGACUCCCUCUCCGUCAUCCCCCGCCUCCCCGACGACGACGACGCCUUGCAUGGAGUCAUGGGGCACCAGUCGGCCGUCGUCAUGUGCGACGCCCAAGGGGAGGGCUACCUUCUUGCCGAGCUCGUCAUGCCAGGAUUCUCCCAGGCCGGGGUCUGGCUCUGGAAGUCGUCAUGCCAGGAUUCUCCCAGGCCGGGGUCUGGCUCUGGAAGUCGUCUUGCUGUCCGGGAGCCACCCCCUUCCAUCCAGCAGAUUCUCCGUUGA